GUAGGUGGCAAGCGUUGUCCGGAAUUAUUGGGCGUAAAGCGCGCGCAGGCGGUUCUUUAAGUCUGAUGUGGAAGCCCACGGCUCAACCGUGGAGGGUCAUUGGAAACUGGAGAACUUGAGUACAGAAGAGGAAAGCGGAAUUCCACGUGUAGCGGUGAAAUGCGUAGAGAUGUGGAGGAACACCAGUGGCGAAGGCGGCUUUCUGGUCUGUAACUGACGCUGAGGCGCGAAAGCGUGGGGAGCAAACAGGGAUUAGAUACCCUGGUAGUCCACGCCGUAAACGAUGAGUGCUAAGUGUUAGGGGGUUUCCGCCCCCCUUAGUGCUGCAGCUAACGCAUUAAGCACUCCGCCUGGGGAGUACGGCCGCAAGGCUG
Molecule: ribosomal RNA, 374 nt
Filed under: uncultured organism
Description: partial 16S ribosomal RNA
Rfam family: Bacterial small subunit ribosomal RNA
Source: RNAcentral